This 440-nucleotide ribosomal RNA is filed under the name uncultured bacterium. RNAcentral describes it as "partial 16S ribosomal RNA". It matches the Rfam family "Bacterial small subunit ribosomal RNA", at positions 338 to 795 of the family's 1533-position model. The record is from RNAcentral.
CCUACGGGCGGCAGCAGUGAGGAAUAUUGGGCAAUGGAGGCAACUCUGACCCAGCCAUGCCGCGUGAGUGAAGAAGGUUUUCGGAUUGUAAAGCUCUUUCGGAUGUGACGAUGAUGACGGUAGCAUCUAAAGAAGCCCCGGCUAACUUCGUGCCAGCAGCCGCGGUAAUACGGGGGAUGCGAGCGUUAUCCGGAUUUAUUGGGUUUAAAGGGUGCGUAGGCGGCGCUUCAGGUCAGCGGUGAAAUACCGGGGCUCAACCCCGGGGCUGCCGUUGAAACCGGAGCGCUAGAAUUCCGAUGCCGUCGGAGGAAUGUGUGGUGUAGCGGUGAAAUGCAUAGAUAUCACACAGAACACCGAUUGCGAAGGCAUCUGACGAAUCGGAGAUUGACGCUGAUGCACGAAAGCGUGGGUAUCGAACAGGAUUAGAUACCCCGGUAGUC